AGGAAUCUUGCGCAAUGGGCGAAAGCCUGACGCAGCGACGCCGCGUGAGGGAUGAAGGCCUUCGGGUUGUAAACCUCUGUCAGGGGGGAAGAACCCGGAGUCGGUGAAUAACCGCCUCCGCUGACGGUACCCCCAGAGGAAGCACCGGCUAACUCCGUGCCAGCAGCCGCGGUAAGACGGAGGGAGCUAGCGUUGUUCGGAAUCACUGGGCGUAAAGCGCGCGUAGGCGGCUUAUCAAGUUGGGCGUGAAAGCCCGGGGCUCAACCCCGGAAAUGCGCCCAAGACUGGUUGGCUUGAGACCGAGAGAGGGUGGUGGAAUUCCCAGUGUAGAGGUGAAAUUCGUAGAUAUUGGGAAGAACACCAGUGGCGAAGGCGGCCACCUGGCUCGGAUCUGACGCUGAGGCGCGAAAGCGUGGGGAGCAAA
Molecule: ribosomal RNA, 424 nt
Filed under: uncultured bacterium
Lineage: Bacteria
Description: bacterial SSU rRNA
Rfam family: Bacterial small subunit ribosomal RNA
Source: RNAcentral